Molecule: transfer RNA, 76 nt
Filed under: methanotrophic bacterial endosymbiont of Bathymodiolus sp.
Lineage: Bacteria; Pseudomonadati; Pseudomonadota; Gammaproteobacteria
Description: tRNA-Thr
Rfam family: tRNA
About the family: Transfer RNA (tRNA) molecules are approximately 80 nucleotides in length. Their secondary structure includes four short double-helical elements and three loops (D, anti-codon, and T loops).
Source: RNAcentral
CUGAUGUAGCUCAAUCGGUAGAGCAGCUGAUUUGUAAUCAGCAGGUCGCGGGUUCGAUUCCCAUCAUCAGCUCCAU